GACAGAGGGUGCGAACGUCGCUCGGAAUUACUGGGCGUAAAGCGCGUGUAGGCGGUUUCGCAAGUUCGGUGUGAAAGCCCGGGGCUCAACCCCGGAAGUGCACUGAAUACUACGGAGCUGGAGUCCUGAAGAGGAGAGCGGAAUUCCCGGUGUAGAGGUGAAAUUCGUAGAUAUCGGGAGGAACACCAGUGGCGAAGGCGGCUCUCUGGACAGGUACUGACGCUGAGACGCGAAAGCGUGGGUAGCAAACAGG
This 253-nucleotide ribosomal RNA is filed under the name uncultured bacterium. Its description in RNAcentral is "partial 16S ribosomal RNA". It matches the Rfam family "Bacterial small subunit ribosomal RNA", at positions 524 to 776 of the family's 1533-position model. The record is from RNAcentral.